RNAcentral lists this ribosomal RNA (1230 nucleotides) under Flavobacterium sp. ICM 1063. RNAcentral's name for it is "bacterial SSU rRNA". It matches the Rfam family "Bacterial small subunit ribosomal RNA", at positions 91 to 1328 of the family's 1533-position model. Lineage: Bacteria; Pseudomonadati; Bacteroidota; Flavobacteriia; Flavobacteriales; Flavobacteriaceae. RNAcentral also lists the same sequence under 1 other name. The record is from RNAcentral.
GAGACCGGCGCACGGGUGCGUAACGCGUAUGCAAUCUACCUUUUACAGGGGGAUAGCCCAGAGAAAUUUGGAUUAAUACCCCAUAGUAUAAUUGAAUGGCAUCAUUUAAUUAUUAAAGUCACAACGGUAAAAGAUGAGCAUGCGUCCCAUUAGCUAGUUGGUAAGGUAACGGCUUACCAAGGCGACGAUGGGUAGGGGUCCUGAGAGGGAGAUCCCCCACACUGGUACUGAGACACGGACCAGACUCCUACGGGAGGCAGCAGUGAGGAAUAUUGGACAAUGGGCGCAAGCCUGAUCCAGCCAUGCCGCGUGCAGGAUGACGGUCCUAUGGAUUGUAAACUGCUUUUGUACGAGAAGAAACACUGCUUCGUGAAGCAGCUUGACGGUAUCGUAAGAAUAAGGAUCGGCUAACUCCGUGCCAGCAGCCGCGGUAAUACGGAGGAUCCAAGCGUUAUCCGGAAUCAUUGGGUUUAAAGGGUCCGUAGGCGGUCUAGUAAGUCAGUGGUGAAAGCCCAUCGCUCAACGGUGGAACGGCCAUUGAUACUGCUGGACUUGAAUUACUAGGAAGUAACUAGAAUAUGUAGUGUAGCGGUGAAAUGCUUAGAGAUUACAUGGAAUACCAAUUGCGAAGGCAGGUUACUACUAGUGGAUUGACGCUGAUGGACGAAAGCGUGGGUAGCGAACAGGAUUAGAUACCCUGGUAGUCCACGCCGUAAACGAUGGAUACUAGCUGUUGGGAGCAAUCUCAGUGGCUAAGCGAAAGUGAUAAGUAUCCCACCUGGGGAGUACGUUCGCAAGAAUGAAACUCAAAGGAAUUGACGGGGGCCCGCACAAGCGGUGGAGCAUGUGGUUUAAUUCGAUGAUACGCGAGGAACCUUACCAAGGCUUAAAUGUAGAUUGACCGGUUUGGAAACAGAUCUUUCGCAAGACAAUUUACAAGGUGCUGCAUGGUUGUCGUCAGCUCGUGCCGUGAGGUGUCAGGUUAAGUCCUAUAACGAGCGCAACCCCUGUUGUUAGUUGCCAGCGAGUCAUGUCGGGAACUCUAACAAGACUGCCAGUGCAAACUGUGAGGAAGGUGGGGAUGACGUCAAAUCAUCACGGCCCUUACGCCUUGGGCUACACACGUGCUACAAUGGCCGGUACAGAGAGCAGCCACUGGGCGACCAGGAGCGAAUCUAUAAAACCGGUCACAGUUCGGAUCGGAGUCUGCAACUCGACUCCGUGAAGCUG